This 72-nucleotide transfer RNA is filed under the name Camelus bactrianus (Bactrian camel). It matches the Rfam family "tRNA". Rfam says of the family: Transfer RNA (tRNA) molecules are approximately 80 nucleotides in length. Their secondary structure includes four short double-helical elements and three loops (D, anti-codon, and T loops). The record is from Rfam by way of RNAcentral. Lineage: Eukaryota; Metazoa; Chordata; Mammalia; Artiodactyla; Camelidae. RNAcentral also lists the same sequence under 1 other name.
GGGUUUAUAGCUUAGUGGUAGAGUACAUGCUUAGCAUGCAUGAUGUCUUGGGUUCUACCCCCAUUACCUCCA